This 360-nucleotide unclassified non-coding RNA is filed under the name Demospongiae sp. GW41337. RNAcentral's name for it is "sequence contains 28S rRNA gene". The record is from RNAcentral. Lineage: Eukaryota; Metazoa; Porifera; Demospongiae.
ACGCGCUCGGCUAGCAAUGUGCCUCGGCGGUUCAGCCGGUUUGGGGGUGGAGGUCGUCGUUGUCGGAUCCGAAUGGACCGUGGCGGCGGCCGUCCGCACUCGAGCCGCGGUGCACUCUGCCGGGGUACGCGUCAGCGUCGGUUCGCAGUUCAGGCGAUAAGGCACGGAGGGAAGGUAGCUCCUGGCUUGCCAGGAGCAUUAUAGCCCAUUGUGCUGGGUCUGGUGCGGACCGAGGAGAGAGAGGAUCGCUGCAGCGCAUGCCGCAAGGCUAGCYGCCCGCCGCUCGGUACGCUUCACAGGCUGAGGACUGCACGCAGUGUUCGGCUUGGCGGAGUUGCCAGGCGGUGGAGUGGUAUAAAU